GUGAACGCCCUCACGGGCUUAUACUAUUCCAAACCUCUGUGAACCGUGCCCUUCGGGGCUAUGUUACAAACAUGGUGUAAUGAACGUCAUAUAUCAUAACAAACA
This 105-nucleotide unclassified non-coding RNA is filed under the name soil metagenome. RNAcentral's name for it is "partial internal transcribed spacer 1". The record is from RNAcentral.